ACCUUCUGGGGUCCUGUUUUCCCCUCCAUCUAACAGCUCCCUUUCCAGGUCCACUGUAUUCCACUCCCUCACCAUGCCUUACAUUUCACCACCACUUUACAUCCCCUUUCUAAUUGCCACCAUGUGCAACUUUAAUACUUCACCUUCACCCUUGAAGGCUCUGGCCAUCCCCUUACGCCCUGCUUCCUGAACUCCUCUGACAUUCCCACCAUCCCCCUUCCACCCCCAACCCAGCCCUGUACCACCUUCCCAUACACCCCCACCCUCUUACACCAGUAAAAACUUUAUGAAUACGUAGGAAGAGAGGGAAACAGUAAGUCAGAUUUUGGGCCAUGCUACCUCAGCUGUCUCUCUUAAAAAUCAAGAUUUGCCUUUUCUGCCCAUCUUCUCUGGGUCUCUCCUGUGGAUUCCAAAUCCUUCUAGAGACUGUCGGGUUUGGACGAUGUACAUGGCAGAGGGGCAUUGCUGGCAAAUGAUGGCAUAUAUCACAUUGAUAGAUGUGCUGGUGAAUGAGCCCCCGAU
Gopherus flavomarginatus (Mexican gopher tortoise) is the source of this 522-nucleotide long non-coding RNA. RefSeq lists it as uncharacterized. The transcript has 3 exons. The record is from RefSeq and is a predicted model, not a curated record. NCBI's taxonomy places the organism in Eukaryota, Metazoa, Chordata, Testudines, Testudinidae.